Molecule: non-coding RNA, 208 nt
Organism: Anolis sagrei ordinatus
Lineage: Eukaryota; Metazoa; Chordata; Lepidosauria; Squamata; Anolidae
Source: RefSeq, a predicted model, not a curated record
AGGGAGAACCUGGAAUUCAGGGCUACCAUGGAAGAAAGGGUGAGGCAGGUGAAACUGGCUUACCAGGACCCCCUGGCCUUCCUGGUCCUAUUGGUCCAAAGGGUGAAAAGGGAGAACGUAGUAUGAAGGUAGGGAUGCAAAUAUUAUUUAUGUAUUUCUUUAUUUAUGCAUUUAUUUAUUACUAGCUGUGUCCACAUUGCUGUGGCCC